This 690-nucleotide ribosomal RNA is filed under the name uncultured bacterium. Its description in RNAcentral is "bacterial SSU rRNA". It matches the Rfam family "Bacterial small subunit ribosomal RNA", at positions 1 to 677 of the family's 1533-position model. The record is from RNAcentral.
UUAGAGUUUGAUCCUGGCUCAGAACGAACGCUGGCGGCGUGCUUAAUACAUGCAAGUCGAACGAGAAAGCCCGACUUCGGUUGGGCAAGUAAAGUGGCGAACGGGUGAGUAACACGUGGAUAAUCUGCCCUUGAGUCUGGGAUAAUCCUCCGAAAGGAGGUCUAAUACCGGAUAAGACCACGGGAUGGCAUCUUCCUGAGGUCAAAGGUGGGGUAACCUACCGCUUGAGGAUGAAUCCGCGCUCCAUUAGCUUGUUGGUGAGGUAACGGCCCACCAAGGCUACGAUGGAUAGCCGGCCUGAGAGGGUGAUCGGCCACACUGGGACUGAGAUACGGCCCAGACUCCUACGGGAGGCAGCAGUAGGGAAUAUUGCGCAAUGGACGAAAGUCUGACGCAGCAACGCCGCGUGGGUGAUGAAGCUUUUUGGAGUGUAAAACCCUGUCAGUGGGGAAGAAACGUAUAGGGAGUAACUGCCCUGUACCUGACGGUACCCGCAGAGGAAGUCCCGGCUAACUCCGUGCCAGCAGCCGCGGUAACACGGGGGGGACAAGCGUUGUUCGGAUUCACUGGGCGUAAAGGGCGCGUAGGCGGAUCUUCAAGUCGGGUGUGAAAACUGGCGGCUUAACUGCCAGCCUGCAUUCGAUACUGUAGAUCUUGAGUACAGUAGAGGAAAGCGGAAUUCCAGGUGUA